AUUUAAAUAAUUUAAUUUUAAAAUAUUGAUUUGUGGAAUCAAAAAUGUAUAAUAUACUUUAAAUA
This 65-nucleotide transfer RNA is filed under the name Noterus clavicornis. Its description in RNAcentral is "tRNA-His". Lineage: Eukaryota; Metazoa; Arthropoda; Insecta; Coleoptera; Noteridae. RNAcentral also lists the same sequence under 1 other name. The record is from RNAcentral.